RNAcentral lists this ribosomal RNA (497 nucleotides) under uncultured bacterium. Its description in RNAcentral is "partial 16S ribosomal RNA". It matches the Rfam family "Bacterial small subunit ribosomal RNA", at positions 28 to 507 of the family's 1533-position model. The record is from RNAcentral.
GAUGAACGCUGGCGGCGUGCCUAAUACAUGCAAGUCGAGCGAACAGACGAGGAGCUUGCUCCUCUGACGUUAGCGGCGGACGGGUGAGUAACACGUGGAUAACCUACCUAUAAGACUGGGAUAACUUCGGGAAACCGGAGCUAAUACCGGAUAAUAUAUUGAACCGCAUGGUUCAAUAGUGAAAGACGGUUUUGCUGUCACUUAUAGAUGGAUCCGCGCCGCAUUAGCUAGUUGGUAAGGUAACGGCUUACCAAGGCAACGAUGCGUAGCCGACCUGAGAGGGUGAUCGGCCACCCUGGAACUGAGACACGGUCCAGACGCCUAAGGGAGGCAGCAGUAGGGAAUCGGCCGCAAUGGGCGAAAGCCUGACGGAGCAACGCCGCGUGAGUGAUGAAGGUCUUCGGAUCGUAAAACUCUGUUAUUAGGGAAGAACAAAUGUGUAAGUAACUAUGCACGUCUUGACGGUACCUAAUCAGAAAGCCACGGCUAACUACGUG